AGGUCAGUGGCUUUCCCGUCCGCCUGAAAAGCGGAAGGUCGCCGGUUCGAUCCCGGCCCUGGCCA
This 65-nucleotide transfer RNA is filed under the name Fimbriimonadaceae bacterium. Its description in RNAcentral is "tRNA-Phe". It matches the Rfam family "tRNA", at positions 9 to 71 of the family's 71-position model. Rfam says of the family: Transfer RNA (tRNA) molecules are approximately 80 nucleotides in length. Lineage: Bacteria; Bacillati; Armatimonadota; Fimbriimonadia; Fimbriimonadales; Fimbriimonadaceae. The record is from RNAcentral.